CUGGGCAGAUUGCUCUCCCUCCCCACUCUCCCAGGCCCAAAUUGGAUCUCAGCGCCUGGGAGCUCCAACUUUAGCAAGUGCGAAAUCCUGUCUUCGGUUUUGGAAUUUUCAUCCGCACAGACUAUAUCAGCCACGGAUAGGAUAUGUGAGAAUACCAGCAUGUCAAGGCUGGGAAUCAUCCUUAGGCAUCACCUAGCCAGUCCUGCCUCUCAUUUUAAGAGAAUAGACGCCUUGAUGGCUCCUCUGGCAGUUCUUGAUGACCAUGGAUGAGCUAAUGGCUGUGGUCUCAAUGGUGGCUUCUUGAGGAGCAUGCAGAGAAAUUGCUUUAGCCUCUGAUAAAUAAAACAGACUGCGAGGAAAAUUACAGCGAGGAAAUUACAGACAUCAUCUCCUUUGAACAGGGAAAAGGUAACAGCUAAUUUCAAAUGGUCCAGUGCCUGAGACUUCACACUGAAGUAGAGCAUUUGUUCCUCUCACUAUGUCUGCAGGCUCAAGAGUUUUGAUGAAAGAAGGAGGUUCUACAAAAGCAUGAAAGCAUUGUGUGGACCUUCUUAUUGAUAGCGGACUGCACAGGCUCUAAUUCUUUAAUGAAAUGUGGCUUAUCAAUGAUGAUCAACUCUGCUUGGCAGAUGUCUGCUCCAAACUUGUUGGAAGCCUUACAAGAAUAAACUCCUCUAUCUUGAAUGGUGGAGUCUCGCUAUGUUGCCCAGGCUGGAGAGCAGUGGUGCAAUCCUGGCUUACUGCAACCUCUGCCUCCUGGCUUCAAGCAAUUCUCCUGCCUCAGCCUCCCAAGUAGCUGGGACUACAGGCUCUGCAGUACCUACCUACCAUGUUACUGUCUUGGUUGUUGGUCUCUCCAGUUGGUAAUACAAGCAUUUCCCACACAUGUACAGAAAGCAAAAAGGACAACAAUAUGAAAUGAAGUGACAACAUCUGUGCCAAUGUAUGGCAUUUACCUGUCACAGUUAGUGUGGCUGUACAGCUGACACUGCCAUACUCAUUGGAAGCUUUGCAUGUAUACUCGCCGCAGUCAACCACCUGGGUUCUCAGGAUUUCAAGGCUGGAGAUAUACUUUGAAGAUCGAAUAGAACACUUGUCACUCUCAUAAAUUUCUCGGCCAGCUUUAAACCACUGGAACCGGACAUUGGGAGCACUUUGGAUCUCACAGCAUAUAAGCAUUAGAAGACAGGACUCAAGUGUCUGCUGGCUGUAAAAAUACUGGAGAAACUCAUCUAUAGCAUGCAGAAUACAUAUUCAGUCAUUGUGUACAAUGCAGCUGUAUAGUCCUUGGUCUACCAGCUGAACAUUACAUAUGACUCAGGUUGGCUGUGCUUGAUACUUGGCCUACAGCAUUACUAGCAACAAACGUCUUCUUCCUUUGGUGAACUGAAUGAGGCACCAGGAUACACAUGAACUGCCACUGGACAUGAACUGCACACAAUAAAAACCCGGCAUUGAAAACGGGCUGGCUGCCCUUCAGAAGUGACAGUGUCCUGAAGCGGGGUGAUGAUGGCAGGUGGAUAAACAGGCAUUUCCUGAUCAGGAGACACAACUUCUGGAACUAAAGAAAGAAACCACAAGAUUUGUCAUGAUUAAGUCACCAUAGAGACCUCACAGAAGGGAGCAUGACAUCAAUUCCAGAGUGGGACAGCUCAACCUCAAACACCACAUUUUGAGUUUCUGUACAGGUUGUCUUUUUCCCGUCGAUGACAAAGCUGUAUUCUCCCUGGUCCUCCUUGGUUACAUCCUUGACCGUGAGGUUCUGACGUCCACGACGAGAUGUAAUUGUAUAUUUGCCAUUGGAUUUAAGCUCCACAUCAUUAUGAUACCAUUUUCCUUCUAUAUUUUCUGGGGAUACAAUGCACUCUAAUUCUCCUGAAUAUGAUUCUGGAACUUCUAUGUCCUGAAGUUCUUUCACAAACUCAACAACUGCACCUGAAGUGUAUAACAGAAAGAUAAAUCAAUUUUUUUGGAGAGGUAUGCAUCUAGACUUAGGAUAGAGAUGAUGUCUUGUAUGUCUUUUAUCUCCCCCAUACUAUCAGGUGUAUUCUUAAUAUCUACCCGCUGAUGGGCUGAGAGAUAAAUUUUCAAUAAGAAGCAGUUAUUUUAUUUUAAUUUUUAAAUAUUUUUGAAAGUAAAGAAUUAUGCUUCAAUAAAAAACUUAAAAGCUAAAAAUCAAGAUAAUACUACUUUAAAAAAUCCAAAUGGUCAAAUUGUUAACAUUCUUAAUUACGAACAUAAAUUUAUGAUUCUGGCUAUGAAACUUAUAGUCAAUUUCCAAAUAAUUGUUUCAUGAAAGAAAAAUUGCAUAGCUAAUUUUACCACAUGCUAAGGGUGACUUUAGAGCUUAGGUAAACAAUGAAAUCCUUCGUUGUUGAAUACCUUCAACAAUAAGUUUAGCAGUCGUUUUGACAUUUUCAUCUUCCACAAGUACACAGCUGUAAUCUUCAGCAUCAGACGUAUCAAUGGUCAGUAUGGAGAGGAAGUGAACCUUUCUGUCAGAGUGCAUCCUGUAUUUAUCUCCCUCAUGAACCUCCAUACCAUCUUUAUACCAUUUCACUUUGACAAAUGGUUCUGAAGUUUCACAUUCAAAGGUUGCCAUAGUGUCUUUUUCCUUAGCAACAACAUCUUGUAAUUCCUGUGUGAAAGUGAUCAAUUGCUUGGCUACAAGAAAAAGGUGGGGGAAAAAGGGGAGAGCACAUUAUAUUAAAUUAAAUUCUCAACCUGAGGAAUGGGGAAAGAAAAUAAAAGUAAACACACUCAUGGAUAUUCUUGAAUACAAAGACAGGUCCAUCAAAGGAAAGACAUGCAAAUUACCUUGGACAAGUAAGAAUGCGUGACUGGAGGUUUCUCCAGCUAUGUUGAUGGCUUUUACCAUGAUGCUGGCAGAGUCCUCAGCAGUCACAUCUCUUAUGACCAAUUCACAAACAUUGUCUUCGGGCCAGUACCAGUAGAUCCGGUCAGACCGUUCAAUUUUGACACCAUUUUUGUACCAUUCACAUUCGGGGUCUGGUUUCCCCACGACUCUGACCCGGAAGUGUGCAUCAGAUCCUUGGCCCACUGUUUGGCUCUGGAUUCUUUCGAAGAUUUUUGGAGCCUCCAUACUAGGACUUAGUUCAAUCUUGUCAGGUUUAAAAGUUGGAAUCGUGAUUUUGCCUUCUUCGGCAAGAGCUUUCUUUUCCUCUUCAGUUAACUCUUUGGUCCAGUGGAGAAGUUCAUCUUUUGUCUUCCUGAGGAGUUCCUCAUAGGAUUCAUCCUUCUUUCGAGACUUGAGCUCCACAGCGGUAAUGGCUUCAUAAUAGCCCUCUUCUGUUCUGCGCUUGAAUUUACUGCGCAGCUCUUCCGACUCUUCAGGCACUUUUUCAUGGGUAAUUCUUUCAGCCCUUUUCAACUUCACAACUUCUUUGGUUUCAGUGGUGUCAACAGGUCUAUCCACUUUUUGUACUUCAAACUGAAGCUUUCCUGGUUCAUGUACGUGAAACUCAGGCCUUGGUUCAGGAGCUCUCCUAAGGACAGACCUAAAAUCUUCCCUCUGUUGAAUCUCAAGCUUCACUUUAUGCUCUAUCACACCUUCAGGAUUUUCCGCGGUGACCUUCACUUCACCUGUGUCAUAUGAUUUGCAGUCCACGAUGUCCAGGUAAUGGAUACCAUCAUAGCGAACUCUGAACCUUUUGCUUUUGCGGAUGAGCUGUCCAUUGAGGUACCAGUUGACUUUGGGCUGAGGGUAGCCUGUUACCCUGCAGCGGAACCUUGCAGUCUCCCCUUCAAGUACUCUAACUGGCUCUGGGUACAAGACAAUGUCUGGCUUUUGCUUUUCUUUCUGAUCUGUUGUUACACCUGUAAGUGCACCUUCAUGAGCCAUUCUCUCUAAUUCUUCAAUUCUCUGUAAGCCUUUCCUCCCCUCAGGCAAUUGGGAUUCUUCCACAAGACUUUUCUCAUCUUUAACAAUAAGGGUAGCAGAUGUGUGAUCUGUUCCAUAUUUGUUAGUGGCUCUGC
Homo sapiens (human) is the source of this 3996-nucleotide long non-coding RNA. Ensembl annotates it as TTN antisense RNA 1. Its record names the gene TTN-AS1. Lineage: Eukaryota; Metazoa; Chordata; Mammalia; Primates; Hominidae. The record is from Ensembl.